This 429-nucleotide ribosomal RNA is filed under the name bacterium. RNAcentral describes it as "partial 16S ribosomal RNA". It matches the Rfam family "Bacterial small subunit ribosomal RNA", at positions 355 to 776 of the family's 1533-position model. The record is from RNAcentral.
UAGGGAAUCUUCGGCAAUGGGGGCAACCCUGACCGAGCAACGCCGCGUGAGUGAAGAAGGUUUUCGGAUCGUAAAGCUCUGUUGUAAGAGAAGAACGUGUGUGAGAGUGGAAAGUUCACACAGUGACGGUAACUUACCAGAAAGGGACGGCUAACUACGUGCCAGCAGCCGCGGUAAUACGUAGGUCCCGAGCGUUGUCUGGAUUUAUUGGGCGUAAAGCGAGCGCAGGCGGUUUAAUAAGUCUGAAGUUAAAGGCAGUGGCUUAACCAUUGUUCGCUUUGGAAACUGUUAAACUUGAGUGCAGAAGGGGAGAGUGGAAUUCCAUGUGUAGCGGUGAAAUGCGUAGAUAUAUGGAGGAACACCGGUGGCGAAAGCGGCUCUCUGGUCUGUAACUGACGCUGAGGCUCGAAAGCGUGGGGAGCAAACAGG